This 2094-nucleotide ribosomal RNA is filed under the name Armina lovenii. Its description in RNAcentral is "SSU rRNA". It matches the Rfam family "Eukaryotic small subunit ribosomal RNA". Lineage: Eukaryota; Metazoa; Mollusca; Gastropoda; Nudibranchia; Arminidae. The record is from RNAcentral.
UCCUACCUGGUUGAUCCUGCCAGUAGUCAUAUGCUUGUCUCAGAUUAAGCCAUGCAUGUCUGAGUUCGCACCCAUCACGCACGGGCAAACCGCGAAUGGCUCAUUAAAUCAGUCCGGGUUCCUUAGGCGACACGGCCCUCGCGGGCAGAUACGGAUAACUGUGGCAAAUCCAGAGCUAAUACGUGCGCUUCGAGCCCCGACCCGCCUCCCCUGGCGGGGAAGGGCGCUUUUAUUAGUACAAGACCGGCGUCCGUCGCCCUCCCGCGAGGGGGGGCCGGACCCUCGUCAGGCGAACUCUGGAUAACGCUUGCCCGACCGCUCCGUCCCUCGAGGACGGCGGCGCGCCUUUCAAGCGUCUGCCCUAUCAAAUGUCGACGGUAGGCCACACGCCAACCGUGUUGACGACGGGUGACGGGGAUAUCGGGGUUCGGUUCCGGAGAGGGAGCACGAGAAACGGCUACCACAUUCCAAGGAAGGCAGCAGGCGCGCAACUUACCCACUCCCGGCCCGGGGAGGUAGUGACGAGAAAUAACGAUGCGGGUCUCGAGUCGGGCCCCGCGGUCGGAAUGAGCGUAGUCCAAACCCUGACGGCGACGACCCACCGGAGGGCAAGCCUGGUGCCAGCAGCCGCGGUAAUUCCAGCUCCGGUAGCGUAUAUUAAAACUGCUGCAGUUAAAAAGCUCGUAGUUGGAUCUCGAGGCGGGCCGCGCGGCCGUGCGGUUGGGUCGGGCCCCGGAGCGGGGCGCGUCGCGCGAGUCGGCGCUCUCGCGGCAGCGGCGCGGGCGGGGGUGGCCUUAAAACCCUCCCGUCGGCUCGCGGUCGCGGGCGCCGGCCCCGGGCGGCGCGUCGCUCUCCGGCGGAUUUCCCGGCCCGCCCCGGCCCGCGGUCCCGCCUUUAAACUCGCCGGCUCUCUCCCGCGGCCGCUCUUCGCUGGGCGGCGCGGGCGGCCGGUCUUUUACCUUGAAAAAAUUAGAGUGUUCAAGGCAGGCAGGACGCGCCCGGAUAAACUCGCAUGGGAUGAUGAAACAGGACCGCCGUCCCGUUUCGGCCGGUCUCAGGGUACGGAGGUAAUGAUUUAAAGGGACGGCCGGGGGCAUCCGUACCGCGGCGGGAGAGGUGAAAUUCGAUGAUCGUCGCGAGACGUCCGAGAGCGAAAGCAUUUGUCAAGAGCGCUUUCUUUAAUCAAGAACGAAAGUCGGAGGCUCGAAGACGAUCAGAUACCGUCGUAGUUCCGACCGUAAACGAUGCCGACCGGCGAUCCGCGGAAAGUCUCGCACGGACUGCGCGGGCGGCCCCCCGGGAAACCAGAGUCUUUGGGUUCCGGGGGGAGUAUGGUCGCAAAGCUGAAACUUAAAGGAAUUGACGGAAGGGCACCACCAGGAGUGGGGUCUGCGGCUUAAUUUGACUCAACACGGGAAAACUCACCCGGUCCGGACACCGCCAGGAUUGACAGACCGAGGCUCUUUCUUGAUUCGGUGGGUGGUGGUGCAUGGCCGUUCUUAGUUGGUGGAGCGAUCUGUCUGGUUAAUUCCGAUAACGAACGAGACUCCGGCCUGCUAGUUAGCGCGACGGCGUCCGGCGGCCUCGGCGGGCGGUCGCGCCCCCUCGCUUCGGCGGGGGCGGCGUCCGGCCGUCCGUCGGUCGCCCGCCGUCGCUACCCCGAGGCUUCUUAGAGGGACGGGCGGUGGCCAGCCGCACGAGAAGGAGCGAUAACAGGUCUGUGAUGCCCUUAGACGUCCGGGGCCGCACGCGUGCUACACUGGGGGAGCCAGCGCGGACGGCGUCCCGGCCCGAAGGGCGUCGGGAAAGCCGCUGAGUCUCCCCCGUGCUCGGGACCGGGGCUUGGCCAUUGUGCCCCGCCAACGAGGAAUUCCCCGUAGCGCGGGUCAUAACCCCGCGCCGAUUACGUCCCUGCCCUUUGUACACACCGCCCGUCGCUACCAUCGGUGAACGGUCUAGCGAGGGCCUCGGACCGGAGCGAGCGCCGCCCUUCGCGGGGCCGGCGGCGCGCCGGGAAGACGCCCGAACUCGGUCGCUCGGAGAUAGUAAAAGUCGUAACAAGGUUUCCGUAGUGAACCUGCGGAAGGAUCAUUA